UACGGGGGGGGCGAGCGUUGUUCGGAAUUACUGGGCGUAAAGGGCGCGUAGGCGGUCUGCUAAGUUGGAUGUGAAAACUCUGGGCUUAACCCAGAGCCUGCAUUCAAUACUGACAGGCUAGAGUUCUGGAGGGGAUAGCGGAAUUCCUGGUGUAGCGGUGAAAUGCGCAGAUAUCAGGAGGAACACCCGUGGCGAAAGCGGCUCUCUGGGACGGUACUGACGCUGAGACGCGAAAGCGUGGGGAGCAAACAGG
RNAcentral lists this ribosomal RNA (253 nucleotides) under uncultured bacterium. RNAcentral describes it as "partial 16S ribosomal RNA". It matches the Rfam family "Bacterial small subunit ribosomal RNA", at positions 524 to 776 of the family's 1533-position model. The record is from RNAcentral.